UACGUAGGUGGCAAGCGUUGUCCGGAAUUAUUGGGCGUAAAGCGCGCGCAGGUGGUUUCUUAAGUCUGAUGUGAAAGCCCACGGCUCAACCGUGGAGGGUCAUUGGAAACUGGGGAACUUGAGUGCAGGAGAGAAGAGUGGAAUUCCACGUGUAGCGGUGAAAUGCGUAGAGAUGUGGAGGAACACCAGUGGCGAAGGCGACUCUUUGGCCUGUAACUGACGCUGAGGCGCGAAAGCUAGGGGAGCGAACGGG
This 253-nucleotide ribosomal RNA is filed under the name uncultured bacterium. RNAcentral describes it as "partial 16S ribosomal RNA". It matches the Rfam family "Bacterial small subunit ribosomal RNA", at positions 524 to 776 of the family's 1533-position model. The record is from RNAcentral.